This 283-nucleotide ribosomal RNA is filed under the name Acaulospora scrobiculata. The record is from RNAcentral. Lineage: Eukaryota; Fungi; Glomeromycota; Glomeromycetes; Diversisporales; Acaulosporaceae.
CAGUCGCGUUCUCUGGGAUUCAGCCUUGCUUCUUGCUUGGUGCAUUUCCUUUCCGAUGGGUCAGCAUCAGUUUUGACCAAGGGAAAAAGACAUUUGGAAUGUGGCUGUCUUCGGGCAGUGUUAUAGCCUUGUGUUGUAUGUCUUGGUUGGGACUGAGGAACGCAGCGCGCCAUUUUGGCCGGGGUCGCGUCCUCUCGACACGCGCUUAGGAUGCUGGCAUAAUGGCUUUAAGCGGCCCGUCUUGAAACACGGACCAAGGACGUCUAACAUAUAUGCGAGUGUU